GACAUGAUAGCACAGCGGUUAGUGCGCAUAUGUUUACUACCCUUUCAACCGACUGGUGUAUGUAGAAGACCCUCGUUCGAUUCGGGAUCAGGUCA
This is a non-coding RNA of Mycena crocata, 95 nucleotides long. The record is from the annotation of a GenBank genome assembly. NCBI's taxonomy places the organism in Eukaryota, Fungi, Basidiomycota, Agaricomycetes, Agaricales, Mycenaceae.